AGAGUUUGAUCAUGGCUCAGGACGAACGCUGGCGGCGUGCCUAACACAUGCAAGUCGAGCGGGGAAGAGGAGAUAGCUUGCUAACUCCUGUUUCUAGCGGCGGACGGGUGAGUAACGCGUGAGCAACCUGCCUUUAUCAGGGGGAUAACGCAUCGAAAGAUGUGCUAAUACCGCGUAAGACCACAGCCUCACAUGGGGCAGGGGUCAAAGGAGCAAUCCGGAUAAAGAUGGGCUCGCGUCCGAUUAGCUAGUUGGUGAGAUAACAGCCCACCAAGGCGACGAUCGGUAGCCGACCUGAGAGGGUGAUCGGCCACAUUGGAACUGAGAGACGGUCCAGACUCCUACGGGAGGCAGCAGUGGGGAAUAUUGGGCAAUGGGCGAAAGCCUGACCCAGCAACGCCGCGUGAGGGAAGAAGGGUUUCGGCUCGUAAACCUCUGUCCUAUGGGACGAAGGAAGUGACGGUACCAUAGGAGGAAGCCCCGGCUAACUACGUGCCAGCAGCCGCGGUAAUACGUAGGGGGCGAGCGUUGUCCGGAAUGAUUGGGCGUAAAGGGCGCGUAGGCGGCCUGCUAAGUCUGAAGUGAAAGUCCUGCUUUCAAGGUGGGAAGUGCUUUGGAUACUGGUGGGCUGGAGUGCAGGAGAGGAAAGCGGAAUUACCGGUGUAGCGGUGAAAUGCGUAGAGAUCGGUAGGAACACCAGUGGCGAAGGCGGCUUUCUGGACUGAAACUGACGCUGAGGCGCGAAAGCGUGGGGAGCAAACAGGAUUAGAUACCCUGGUAGUCCACGCGGUAAACGAUGAAUGCUAGGUGUAGGAGGUAUCGACCCCUUCUGUGCCGCAGUAAACACAAUAAGCAUUCCGCCUGGGGAGUACGGCCGCAAGGUUGAAACUCAAAGGAAUUGACGGGGGCCCGCACAAGCAGCGGAGCAUGUGGUUUAAUUCGAAGCAACGCGAAGAACCUUACCAGGUCUUGACAUCCGUGUAAAGCCGCAGAGAUGCGGUGUGAGCUUGCUCAAUGCGAGACAGGUGGUGCAUGGUUGUCGUCAGCUCGUGUUGUGAGAUGUUGGGUUAAGUCCCGCAACGAGCGCAACCCUUAUCUUUAGUAGCCAGCGGUUCGGCCGGGCACUCUAGAGAGACUGCCAGGGAUAACCUGGAGGAAGGCGGGGAUGACGUCAAAUCAUCAUGCCCCUUAUGACUUGGGCUACACACGUGCUACAAUGGCGUAAACAAAGGGAAGCAAAGCUGUGAAGCCGAGCAAAUCUCAAAAAUAACGUCUCAGUUCGGACUGUAGUCUGCAACCCGACUACACGAAGCUGGAAUCGCUAGUAAUCGCAGAUCAGAAUGCUGCGGUGAAUACGUUCCCGGGUCUUGUACACACCGCCCGUCACACCAUGGGAGUUGGGAAUGCCCGAAGCCAGUGACCUAACCGAAAGGAAGGAGCUGUCGAAGGCAGGCUCGAUAACUGGGGUGAAGCCGUAACAAGGUA
This 1485-nucleotide ribosomal RNA is filed under the name metagenome. RNAcentral describes it as "bacterial SSU rRNA". It matches the Rfam family "Bacterial small subunit ribosomal RNA". The record is from RNAcentral.